RNA transcript from Dermacentor silvarum, 1741 nucleotides. RefSeq lists it as uncharacterized. Lineage: Eukaryota; Metazoa; Arthropoda; Arachnida; Ixodida; Ixodidae. The record is from RefSeq and is a predicted model, not a curated record. The transcript is spliced from 4 exons.
CAUGGCGUCAGCGCUUUAUCGUGUGCAACUCCGGACGGUGUUUGCAGGAAAGUAUCAAGCUUUGGGCACGUAGCAACAGUAGGCAGAGCGCGAUCGCCAUUGAAAGUGAAGUACGCCUCCAAUUUGUGAGUGCUUACUUUACUACUGAAGCUAUCCUGCUUGGAAUCCUCUACGAGCACGAGACCGUGGUAUACUAUGGGACAAGUGUUGGCCCCGGAUCCUCCAUCCGAGGAAGAAAAAAAACGAGAUCAGCAUAUCCAACUACGGAUAGCAAUCGAACAAAUAUUACGCCAGUAUGGAUUAUACUCGAAAAAGGAGAUUGAUGAAAUCGUUACCAUAUUGGAGGAUGUAGGCAUCAGAAAUGUUAAAGCCCUUGCCGUGCUUGACCAGAAGGCCCUUCAAGCAAAGAAGAUGAAACCGGCUGUCAUAAAUAUUCUGAUGAAAAAAUCUCAAGAAAUGAAGAGGCAGACUGGCUGGUGAAAGAAUGCUGCAAACGUUAUUUGAGAAUAAGAAGUCAUGUAUCAGAUGGAAGCGUUCCUGAACAACGUUGAGUCUCGUGAGAAACAUACAGUAAAUAUUCCGAUUCGUCCUAUUGGCUGCCUUGUAUUCUAUCUAUUCCACUUUACCGUCAUGGAUAAAACAAAAGAUAAUUAAAAAUAAAGGUGAUCCAUAAAGAUGUAUUUACUUACCAUUACCAACAGGUAUUGCGAAAUGAGAUUUAUCUGCACGGGGAAUUGUGUGUAGCCUAUAAAAUCUGUUCACAACGGUUUCUUCUUCUCGAAGACUUUAAAUCAUGGGACGACCUACUGGUCAUAAUAUAUUGAAUGUGCGUUCCUCAUUCUCCAAGACUUUAAAUCACGGAAAUACCUACUGUUCCUUUUAAUUUGAAUGCUGUUAGUAGAGUGCCUCUUUCUUCCUUUUCGCAAAAUAUUAACAAGGCAUAGCAAUGCGUACAUCACCAUUCACGUGUAACGUAUGCAUUGCGCACAUUGUCAACGGACAUUCAAUUUAAAUACACACGCUCUUCUUCCUCGGAAUGACUGAAAGCACUUACAUUAGCCGCUGUUUUUCCACAGUGGGAAUCAAAGAUUACUAUUGAGUGUACUGCACACUAAUAAACUGUGUUCAAAACGAUGAUACAUUGAUGAUAUAGAAAGAAAUUGUGCAUUCUCAUUCUAUUUCCAGACUUUGAACAACUUCACUGAACACUCGCACAAAUCUCGUGGAUAUUCUGACAUAGCGCAUGGAUAGUCUGAUUUGCACCUAAGCAUUUGAAAUUUAACUUUCUUUCCCGGAAUUUUAUUGUUAUAUUAGGAAAUUGAUUUUAUUAUAGAAAGAUAAUGCUGUAUUGUUAGGACAAGAUACAACAUAAAUAUAAGCUACAAGUAAAUAAUCCAUGGGAACUAAGACAUUCUUCUAUAGCAGUGUACACACUGGCUGAAGGAUGCAAUACUGGUCAUGUCAUGCUUUGAGCACCCUUGACGAAAGUACAAUAUGCGGAAGAUAUUAUCCGCAGUUUCCCCUUCACUAGGGCGUCCCUCAAAAGCCCUCUUUAACUUGGGAAACGCAAACGGCACAAUUUUUUAUUGGCGUUAAGUGCUAUUUUCUGCGGCGUUUAGAUUAUAAACUGCAGCAGUGUUUACCUUUUUUUUGUCUUGGAUUGACGUACGUGUAGAAAAAUGAGUACAUCAGUAUAUCAGGUUUUUAAUCACGAGACAUCACAUUGGCACACAAAACAUAA